This 154-nucleotide microRNA precursor is filed under the name Amborella trichopoda. RNAcentral's name for it is "MIR8565 microRNA precursor family". It matches the Rfam family "MIR8565 microRNA precursor family". Lineage: Eukaryota; Viridiplantae; Streptophyta; Magnoliopsida; Amborellales; Amborellaceae. The record is from Rfam by way of RNAcentral.
CCCACACCCAUGUGUGUAGGAUCCCGAAGGAUCACGAUUAAAUUUGGCACAGAUCUCUAGAAAAGUUAUCACAUGGAUGUGAGAUUUGACUUUUCUAGAUAUCUGUAUAAAUUUUAAUGGUGAUCCUUUGAGGUCCUACACAUAUGGGUGUGGG